CCAUCCUGCAGCUCACUCACGGAAACAACUAGGUGUCCCAGACAGAGAGUCAAGAGAGGAGAUGAAACCUGCUCCCCAAAUUGCGGCCACCACUGGAGUCUUCCAUGGUCCAGCUUGAGAGGCAGGUGCUUAAUAACCGCUUGUUCGGAGUCGUGCACAAGGGCCAACAGCAAAUGUGUGCCGACUGCAGUAAGGAUGGUGAGCAGGGAACAGCAGACUAAUAAUGAAACCAACACUAAUGAUCAAGCAGGAAGGAGAGGAUGGAAGGGAAUAAAAUGGUUUGCAUGUGUUGGCAUAUGUUCCCCUGAAGAUAAAUCUGUG
Molecule: long non-coding RNA, 321 nt
Organism: Ailuropoda melanoleuca (giant panda)
Lineage: Eukaryota; Metazoa; Chordata; Mammalia; Carnivora; Ursidae
Exons: 3
Source: RefSeq, a predicted model, not a curated record